CCUGGGGGCGAAGUGGCCGGGUCGCAGGGUGAAUGAAGAGCUCGACCAGCCGGGCGCCCGGCUUCGGCCACUCCCAGGCCUAUUGGCUGCCACCCCGCCGCCCCCAGGCCCAGCCCUUCCCCCCGCGGGAGCUGCCGGGCCCCACGGGCGAUGGGGGCUGUGCUCUAGCUCCCCCCGGGCCAGCCUUACCCCGCUCGCUGACACUUCGCGGCCCCGUUUCCAUGGAGCUCCUCCCCCGCUUCAAACCGACCCGCGGCUUUAGCGGACCCCAUUCUGCGCACGCGCCGCGACCCUAACUCCCGAUGCGCUCUGGGAUUUGUAGUCCUUCGCGCUCCACCCAGACACGGAGCUAAACAGUGUCGGCGUGCCGGGGAGGCACCUGGGAUUUUUUUGCCGGAGGCGCGUGCGCAAUGAACCUCACCAGGGUGGUGCGGGUCAUGCCGGGAUAUGUAGUUUCGGUCUCUCUCUAUUCCAGCAUAGAGCAACGUGGGCCAGCCUGGUCUAGUGGUGAGAGUUGAGGGUUGGCAGUGCACUAUGGGUUCUCGUUCCGUAUGGCCUUCAAGGUGACCUGAUGCUUUAGUUUCCAGAAAAAAGCUGAUCCACCUUUUGCCCACCAGAGGGCACUGUGGUGACAGACCACAGCAGCAGUUCCAGGCCAGUGGCUGAAGAGAGCCUGCCUUCUUCACAGUGCCUGUCAGGCCAGGAGAGUGCAUCACCCCAGACAUCCCAGGUUGCAGUGACCACAGCUACUGAAUGUGGCUCAACUGCUUCCCCAUGCAGCCUAUUCACCAGAUUUGGCUCCCUGACACUCCUAUGUGCCUCAAGAUGAAGGAAGAUCUUUGUGAGAAGAGUUGAAGGGUUUCUGGACAUGCUGGACUCCUACAAGCCAGGCAUAGCCAAGCUGCAGCUGUGCUGGAUCAAAUGCAUUGAUGUCAAGGGGGAUAUACUAAAAAAUGAACAAUUGAACAUGGACUGUUUUGGUCUUUUUCUCUGUCAGGCUAGAUUUGUGAAUGCCCCUUGUACAAGCAAACCUUUCAGUUUACAAUGAUGGUUAGUUCUGCUAGGCCUUAUAAUGCCCUGAGAAUGAAAUCAGGUUAUAACUAACUAAUCAGCACGACCGCAGCCAGUUAUAUCCUUCAUUUGGAUCUCAGUAGCAUUCAAAAAGGUGUGAAAUAAUUGUAUAACUUUUGAGAACAUUAUAAAAAAUUAGAUUGACAGCCAUUCUUGAUCUUUACAUACAUCUACCUUCUCCCCCAUCCCCCACUGGAUAUGCAAGUUGGCUGGGGAGUUGGUUACUGAUCCUUACAUGAAAAGUAUUAUGUAAAUACACUAGUAUUAACUAAUAUGGUUGUCAACCUAUUCCAUACUGGGAUUCCCCUUCCCUUUAGUAGUAUGGAAGGGCUUACCUGGUUGAGAAGCCCUAGUCUAAUAAAAUAUGAAAUAAUACUGUCAAAUGUGAUAAAUAUCUCAAACUUUCAUUGUUACAUGAGCAUUAAUGCAUCGAAUAAUAUUUUCUACCCUCAUAUUUAAAAGGUAAAAGCUGUAAAUCCUAUGUUUUUGCUUUUUUUUUUUUAAAGGGGGGUGAUAAUGUGUAAAUAAGCUCCUAUCAUGUAAGAUUCACUUAAUCAGAGAUGCUGAGCUUUAAUUUAUCAGGCUGCUUUUGUUUAGGUGCCUAAGUAUGAUUUUAGCAUAGAGUGGCUUGCAUUUGGAAGUGCUGACCUCAAGUUUUAAUGUUAUCUGAAUCACUUCCACAAAAUAAACUACAUGAUACUUAUCUGCCUUGAAAAAAUGAAUUAAUGCUGCCAAAAUUUUAACCCAUGGUUCUAGGGAGCGUGAGCAUUUCACAAACAUAAACCAAAUACUUACGUCACUAAGGACCCAGUUAUAUUCCGCUAUCUAAACAUUUUGGAUCUACAAAAAAGCUUGGAAACUUCCCAACAAAGUCUCUAAUCUUGUGAGAUUUCCACCACUGCUUGGCUCCUGUCAUGCCAGAAUUGUUCAAAUAAUAGCUUUCUAUUUCUUGAUGUUUCUGCUUUUCAGUAUUGAUGCAGGAAAUAAAGGGGUGAAUGAGCACAGGCACAAAAACUAAUGUAGUGUAUGACAGAAUGUUAAGAGUCUUUAAACCUCAAAGUUCAGCUGGAGGUUUGAGUGAUGGUUUGAGUUCGUUCUUAGUUAAGCUAAACUCGUUUGUCAAUCCCUACAA
This is a long non-coding RNA of Chelonia mydas (Green sea turtle), 2203 nucleotides long. RefSeq lists it as uncharacterized. NCBI's taxonomy places the organism in Eukaryota, Metazoa, Chordata, Testudines, Cheloniidae. The record is from RefSeq and is a predicted model, not a curated record. The transcript is spliced from 3 exons.